Non-coding RNA from Anas platyrhynchos (mallard), 4148 nucleotides. The record is from RefSeq and is a predicted model, not a curated record. Lineage: Eukaryota; Metazoa; Chordata; Aves; Anseriformes; Anatidae.
GCCAAAAAUAACACCUUUUCACUUUCAGCUUUCUGGCUGUUUGUGACACCGUUUCAAGCCGUAGGAAGUUUAUCCUAGAUUAUUGUUGAACAGGAGGAGACUCCGAUACUCCCCCUCCUGCCUGAAGGUCCGUUGCUGUGUCCUUCUUUGAUGGAAAAAGGAGAAAAUGCACCGAUUCAGACUUUGAACCGUGUGUUGGCAGAGGGAGCAGUGCCACUGCCCUGCUAAAAGGGCACAAUCAUCCUGUGGGAGUCUAAUUACCGCCGAGGUCUCGAGCUGAGUGGGUUGCGUUAUCCACCUUCCUGGGACACCUAGGAGGGACAGAAACGUCAUGUUCCGGGAUGUGAAGCAGCCCCUGGUGACUCAGACCAGGAGGAACCCUUCAGACAGGCAGAACCCCGGUGAGUCUCCGCGGCAGCGGAUCCAGUGCCCUCCUUUGAGGUGUUUGGAUUGUGUCAAGGCUGGGUUAGGCAGAGCUGGGCUUGAGCCACCACCAUCCACCCACCCGCUCCUCCUCGCCGUCCUUAUGGCAACAGUGGGCUGACAAUAAUAAACCCCAAUUAAGCCUGUUGUUAAAUAUGACUCUGAGCAGCCCCGAAGGGAGUAAAUUAACACACAGCAGUCUAUUUCUGGGUGUAAUCCAAGCCUUGGAAACCCGAGAAGAAAAGAUUUAGAACGUGAUAGAGAUUGGGCCAAAGUUCAUUUUCCACUGGCUGUCUUAACUUCCAGCCCCAACCUCCUCCUUGGUUUGGUUUCCACUUGAUUAUCCUCAGUGCCUCCGGGGGUAGAGAGCACAACGAGUAAUCCCCUGAACGUUCGCUGGCAGGCAGCACAACUGAUAUUCAGCAGUGAGGGUGGAAGAUUGCUCCUGGAGUCUGGGGCACAGCAGGAUCUGCACCGACGUGUGGGAUCUGGGGAGCGAAUCCACGGGCUGGGCUGUGUUGUGAGGUGAGCAGUGCCUCCAAGCCCACUGUAAUCCUGCUCCAGAAAACAUGUUUGCAACAGAGCCUGAGGCUCUGCUCCAAGCCUGCUCCCGUCUUCCUACUCGUGGUGGUUCUCCUCUCCUAAUCCCUUUUUAAUAUGCGGUGCUACAUAUUUUGCAACCCCAUUGUUUGGGCAUGACUCUAACAUGGCCUCCGCUUGCCAGCUGUCAGCUGUCGGGGCCGGGCUGCCAGGGGAUGCCGACGAGCAUCCUCAGCACCCCUGGGCCUCCCCCAAAACCGAAUUUCCCAAGUAUAAAGAUCAGGAAGGAUGAGACAUGGAUUUGCAGGCUCGCAGCCCAUGCCCCAGAUAUCGCCCACUGUUGGGACAGAACUUUUUCACAAGUUUGUUAAUAAUUCUGUUUCCUGAUCGCCCUGAAAUGAAAGGUUAUGUGCUCUGAAUAGCCAUGGGAAGGAGAAAGAAUAGCAAAAGGAGUGCUGGACCAGUGCACGCUGUAAAAAAUGAUGGAAAAGAAGUCACUCAGCAGGUGAGUGGCAUCUGGGCUGCGACGUGGUGCUGGUGAGUAAUGGGUGCGGGUUUGGGUGUGGAGGCACGGGGUGCGGGUGCCCCCUGCGGGACACAGGGUGCCUCUGGCAGCCCGUGGCAAUGGCCCAAGCUGUGGGUAGCAGCUCGGAGCAGGGGUGUGGGACCUCCUGGGUGGGUUUGGGUUUCAUCCUGGCGUGGGAAGCCCCCUGAGGAGCCUGUGCUGGCAGCGGUGCAGCACGGAGCUGUAUCCUGGCCUCGCUGUGCUCAUCUUUCAGAAGUUUAGGUAGUUUUUUUUAGGCAGGCAUCAAUGUUUAAAUUGUUCAAACAAUCCCUUGAAGCUGUUGUUUCAGGAUCUUCUGAGCUCUCCCUCCUUGAAGUGAGCACGAGGAGCAGAAAUGUGCCCAGAAGGGCAAGUCUGACCUUUAGGGAAGAGCAUUGAGGCACUCGCCAGCAUUUCCUGUGCUGUGAUGAAAACAUCCAGAGACUGCAGGAACUCUGAGGAGUGUGCAGGGACGUCGUGGCAUGCUGCUGCACCACAGUGCCUGCUGCUGUUCUCAGCCUUCUUCCCGAACUGCUCUGGGUCACAUUCGGUGCUGCUGGCACGCCUCGUCGCCGGUCUUGAUUUAGAAAACUAAAGAUAGCACCCAAGUGUGGCCGUUGCUAUCCUAACCUGAGAAAUACAGUCCCAAAUAAAAGCAAAUGUGAAAAGAACUUAGCAUGACAUUAGCAAUAUAGGUCCCUGCGGGAGAUAAAGGUGAGUUUUCUGUGCUGAAUUCCACCUCGGUGUUGGUCCUUGCAGCUUCCCAUCUAGGGAGUCCUGUUUAACAGCCUUCAGCUUUCACACCUCGUAGCACUCAGGCAAAUUAAUAAUAUUGAUCCUUAAUUUGCAUCAUGAAACUCCAUUUUCAACCUGAUUAAAGCAAUUUGCAAGGCAGUCUCCUGCCUCAGCAGGCUUGUAGCAGAGAUUGUCUGCUAGGUCCCCGUGACUUUGUUGUUUUUCUGGACAGAAAACAUGCCGCUGCCACUGCAGGGCAGGACUUCAAGUUUUUUUUCUUCCUCUGGGAAAAGAAAAUGACUGGGGAUGCUGCUAAGUUGGGUGCCUGUUUCUUGCCUGAUUUAGAUGCUCUCUGACGGCCAGUACAGGAAAUUCCCUGGUAUUAUUCUCAGAUCUGCUUCUCUUUCAUCACUGUUCUUCUGUGGCUACUCUACAGCCCAGACCCAAGAUAUUUUUGCCUACCUAGGAACCAUCAUCACCAGUGGGAUUUCUCGGAAGUGCUCUGCUGGAAAUCCGAGUGCUGAUUUGAUCGUGUGAAGACCUGCCAAAAAACACGAGCAGUUUGAACUUCCCUGCUGUGGAGUCAUCCCCCGUUCCUUGGGCGAGGAAUCCGCAAAGCCCCAGCUGCUCCAUCUUGCUGGUUGACGGGGAGCCGCUCGCUGCCAGUCUUCAGGAGGAAACCGCACUCCUCAGGGGCUGAAACCACCACGGACGGUGUUGUAAGGCAAAAGCCACAGCCCCCAUGUACCAAGCCUUGCGGUGUGCCAGGGCUGCAGCUCUCUGCACGCAGAAGCACGGAGCGGAGCUGGAGGAGUCCCGCAGGGGAUCCCUGGACGCAGCGAGAUCAAAGGUUCAACAGCUGACGGCCGCCCUGAAGACUGCAGCCUGAUGCUCUAAGCUCAGAGCUGGUAUCCCCGACAGGAAAUGCCGGAGCUGGGAAGCAGAUGUGUGUGUGAGAUACUGCCGAAAAGUUAAACAGGAAUUGAUGAGCCCCGCUGCCGGACAGGGCCGCUCUUGGGGCUUUGUGCAGAGUAAGUUAUUGUGCUGGUUAUUCCUUGUCAUUUCGCCUCCCUGGAAAAAGGAAGCCACGAAGAUCUGAGUGGUGGAACCCCCAAAGUGUUAUUUAUAUAAAGCCUCUCGGGUCCGUGUCCCGUUGGCACUGUUCUGCCAUAGCCCACGGCACAGCAGCGCUGUGCACGACACCUGUGGGUGCUGGGGUGCCUGUAACGACACGUAACCAUGCUGCAAUGCCAGUAAUGACACCUAACGGUGCUGGGGUGCCCGUAAUGACACCUGAGGGUGCGGGGAUGUCCCUAAGAACACCUCACGGUGCUGGGGUGCCUGUAACAACACCUAACCGUGCUGGGUGACCCUUAACCCCCUGGGGUCAGGACUGGGUGCCGGGGGGCAGCCAGGACAAGCCCCAGGCAGCAGAGCCACACCUGAACCCCUCAUUGUUGUGCCGGGGCAGGCAGCCACCCCGCACCUUCCUCCUCCUCUCCGGCUUCGGCUCCGUUUGCAGCUCCCUGGCUUUGCUUUGCUAUCUCCGGGGGGCUCUGCUCCAGCAGCACACGGCGCUGGGGGCUGGGGCAGGGCUGGCCGGCCACAUGCGGGGCCUUUUGGGUUGCCCAAAGGCCGCAGAACCCCCAAAGACCCCAAAAACCCCAAACCCCCCGAAAAACCCCAAAUCCCCCCCAGCCCUCCCCGCUCCUCCCGCCAGGGGGCGCCGCUGAGCCUCCGUGCGCCCCCCCCCUUCUCCAUGACGCUCCUCUCCCCUCCCCUUCCCAUUGGCCAACCUCCCCUUUGCCCCUCCCCUCCCUCCCCAUCCGCGCCCUCUCAUUGGCCAGGAGGGGCGGAGCGACAGCACCUCGGCCCCGCCCCCCUUCCUCCACCUCCUCCUCCCGGC